Molecule: non-coding RNA, 28 nt
Filed under: Rattus norvegicus (Norway rat)
Lineage: Eukaryota; Metazoa; Chordata; Mammalia; Rodentia; Muridae
Source: RNAcentral
UGGAUGGCUGAGACGAACAGUAGAAUGC